Molecule: ribosomal RNA, 249 nt
Filed under: uncultured Actinomycetes bacterium
Lineage: Bacteria; Bacillati; Actinomycetota; Actinomycetes
Description: uncultured actinobacterium partial 16S ribosomal RNA
Rfam family: Bacterial small subunit ribosomal RNA
Source: RNAcentral
GACGAACGCUGGCGGCGUGCUUAACACAUGCAAGUCGAACGAUGAUCAGGAGCUUGCUCCUGUGAUUAGUGGCGAACGGGUGAGUAACACGUGAGUAACCUGCCCCUGACUCUGGGAUAAGCGUUGGAAACGACGUCUAAUACUGGAUAUGAUCACUGGUCGCAUGGCCUGGUGGUGGAAAGAUUUUUUGGUUGGGGAUGGACUCGCGGCCUAUCAGCUUGUUGGUGAGGUAAUGGCUCACCAAGGCGA